AGUCUCUUUAAACAUUAUCCCCGCCCCUUGUCUUAAAGUAAAGAUGGCGUUUUUUUUUGGUUAACUGUAGCAUGAAGGUUCAGACAGCAUUUUAUUUAUUUAUUUAUUUAUUUAUUAUUGUUAUUAUCAUUUUUAAAGAGUUAAGUUAUUUUUGAACGAGUAGUUCAUAUAUACGACUGAACGGUUAUUGAAGUGCUAUUCCUUAAAAGUAGUAUCCAGUAUAGCAUCAAUGAUCAUUUCAGUCAGGUGACUAUACCUGUUACUUAAAUGCAAGCACAAUUAACUCAGAAUUACUGGUUCACUUAUGGACAGUAUUUUUCAUAGACAUCGUGACAGAAAAUUACUGGGGGAAAAAAAAAAACCUCAGUGCUUGAAGCUGAAAAUGUUGAGAAAGCUGUGGAGAACGACUUUUAGAAAGAAAAAACUGAAGGAGUAAAUUGCUUUUUCCAUCGCUGGCUGAUUUAUUAAAUGCAGAACGGUGAGUAGAAAAUCCAUAAUCCCUUUCUCACAUUGGAUUUCUGGUCUUCUUUUUUCCCCCAGAUGCCUUUAAUAAAAUCAUGAAUAUUUAUAAUCACAUAGAUCAUUUACAGCCAUUACACAAAAGUCAGUUUUACUCAAUUACCAAUACAAGCUUUUAGUUAGUUCACAGUGAAAAACAGAGGACAUUCAUCAGUUCACUGCUUAUAAUGCUGGUUUGAAGUAAAGGGCGUCGAGAAAGACAGGAUGUCCUCUGAAAAGGUCUUACAGCUUUAAACACAAUAUCUCAACAGCAAUAAUGACUCAAGCUCAGCGAGUCAGGUAGAAUCACUGCCUUGUUGCGUGAAACCAUUAUCUCUUAAAAAAAUUUGAACAGAAUAUAUUUGCGUCAUCAUAAGCAAACAUUACAUGAACAAAGUAGUGUAAAAUGUGGCACUGAGAGAUUUGAUUAAUUGUACAAUACAAAGUAAUAAAAUAAAAGAUGCAUAAAAACAAACCAAAAUGAAGCAAAAUAAAGCAAACAGUGACUUCCUGGACUGGAUUAUUAAUGGUCCAUUUUAUGACCAAACAAUCAUAACUCAAUCAUGCUAGCUAAAAAACUGAAAUAAUGUGCGAUGUCAUAGCACUUCUACUUCAUCUACAACUCAUCUUCAACUCAGAUUGUCGCAGGAUGUUCUCGUGUGCGUGUGUUCAUGUGG
Long non-coding RNA from Ictalurus punctatus (channel catfish), 1175 nucleotides. RefSeq lists it as uncharacterized. Lineage: Eukaryota; Metazoa; Chordata; Actinopteri; Siluriformes; Ictaluridae. The transcript is spliced from 2 exons. The record is from RefSeq and is a predicted model, not a curated record.